This 66-nucleotide transfer RNA is filed under the name Aquatica leii. RNAcentral describes it as "tRNA-Pro". The record is from RNAcentral. Lineage: Eukaryota; Metazoa; Arthropoda; Insecta; Coleoptera; Lampyridae. RNAcentral also lists the same sequence under 1 other name.
CAGAGAAUAGUUUAUGUAAAAUGUUAACUUUGGAAGUUAAGGAAGAAUAAUCUAAUUUUUCUCUGA